GCGGACGGGUGAGUAACGCGUGGGUAACCUGCCCUGUACACACGGAUAACAUACCGAAAGGUAUGCUAAUACGAGAUAAAAUACUUUUAUCGCAUGGUAGAAGUAUCAAAGCUUUUGCGGUACAGGAUGGACCCGCGUCUGAUUAGCUAGUUGGUAAGGUAACGGCUUACCAAGGCGACGAUCAGUAGCCGACCUGAGAGGGUGAUCGGCCACAUUGGAACUGAGACACGGUCCAAACUCCUACGGGAGGCAGCAGUGGGGAAUAUUGCACAAUGGGCGAAAGCCUGAUGCAGCAACGCCGCGUGAGCGAUGAAGGCCUUCGGGUCGUAAAGCUCUGUCCUCAAGGAAGAUAAUGACGGUACUUGAGGAGGAAGCCCCGGCUAACUACGUGCCAGCAGCCGCGGUAAUACGUAGGGGGCUAGCGUUAUCCGGAAUUACUGGGCGUAAAGGGUGCGUAGGUGGUUUCUUAAGUCAGAGGUGAAAGGCUACGGCUCAACCGUAGUAAGCCUUUGAAACUGGGGAACUUGAGUGCAGGAGAGGAGAGUGGAAUUCCUAGUGUAGCGGUGAAAUGCGUAGAUAUUAGGAGGAACACCAGUUGCGAAGGCGGCUCUCUGGACUGUAACUGACACUGAGGCACGAAAGCGUGGGGAGCAAACAGGAUUAGAUACCCUGGUAGU
This 677-nucleotide ribosomal RNA is filed under the name uncultured bacterium. RNAcentral's name for it is "bacterial SSU rRNA". It matches the Rfam family "Bacterial small subunit ribosomal RNA", at positions 98 to 794 of the family's 1533-position model. The record is from RNAcentral.